Non-coding RNA from Podarcis lilfordi (Lilford's wall lizard), 70 nucleotides. The record is from the annotation of a GenBank genome assembly. Lineage: Eukaryota; Metazoa; Chordata; Lepidosauria; Squamata; Lacertidae.
UCAGCUCAGCUGGUAGAGUGUGAGACUCUAAUCUCAGAGUCAUGGGUUUGAUUCCCCACAUUGGGCAAAA